GAUGAACGCUGGCGGCGUGCCUAAUACAUGCAAGUCGAGCGAACAGACGAGGAGCUUGCUCCUCUGACGUGAGCGGCGGACGGGUGAGUAACACGUGUAUAACCUACCUAUAAGACUGGGAUAACUUCGGGAAACCGGAGCUAAUACCGGAUAAUAUAUUGAACCGCAUGGUUCAAUAGUGAAAUACGGUUUUGCUGUCACUUAUAGAUGGAUCCGCGCCGCAUUAGCUAGUUGUUAAGUUAACGGCUUACCAAGGCAACGAUGCGUAGCCGACCUGAGAGGGUGAUCGGCCACACUGGAACUGAGACACGGUCCAGACUCCUACGGGAGGCAGCAGUAGGGAAUCUUCCGCAAUGGGCGAAAGCCUGACGGAGCAACGCCGCGUGAGUGAUGAAGGUCUUCGGAUCGUAAAACUCUGUUAUUAGGGAAGAACAAAUGUGUAAGUAACUAUGCACGUCUUGACUGUACCUAAUCAGAAAGCCACGGCUAACUACGUG
This 497-nucleotide ribosomal RNA is filed under the name uncultured bacterium. Its description in RNAcentral is "partial 16S ribosomal RNA". It matches the Rfam family "Bacterial small subunit ribosomal RNA", at positions 28 to 507 of the family's 1533-position model. The record is from RNAcentral.